Long non-coding RNA from Oxyura jamaicensis (ruddy duck), 2451 nucleotides. RefSeq lists it as uncharacterized. Lineage: Eukaryota; Metazoa; Chordata; Aves; Anseriformes; Anatidae. The record is from RefSeq and is a predicted model, not a curated record. The transcript has 2 exons.
GGCUGGUAUCUGCGCAUACAGGCGAAGAGCAGCAGGGACUGCCGAAGCAUUCUCUCAGACACUGAGCCAUCAUCACUCCAAAGCUGCUUGUCGAUUAGGUCUUUAAAUAACUUGACUAUAUAGUUGAAAUGUUACCUUUAACUGUUUUUCUGUAUCAUCCAUAUCCCGCUUCUCCAUGAGCUUGUAUAUAGGAACCAGCUCAUUCAUACCUUGGAGUACAGGCAUGAUUUGUGUUUCCCGUUUCAGGUAUAAAGUUAAAUCAAAAGCUUUAGAAAUUGGCAUUUUUUUUAUUCUAAAGAGAAGAAAGGGGACAAAGGAAGUUGCAAUUAAGCUUACCAAACAAACUCAAAAGCAAAAUCCAAGGCACAGUUUUUUAACUUUGUUUUUAGAUGUCAAAUGCAGCUGAGCAAAUAACAUAAGCUGUGAAACUUAAGAUCUAGUCUUUGAACUAAGAAAUGGACCGUAAGGGAAUGUUAUUAGUAAGACCCACUUUUUCCCCUGUCCCAUGGUCGUCAAAGCACUGUCUCUCUCUUGCAGUCUCCCCACUUUGCUCGAUAUAGCACAUACAGAAGAAAUCCAAUCACUGAAUUUAUUUCCUCUGUAACACCUUUCUAGCUUGACAUGCAGGUACUUAAUCUCUUGUAGUGAAACCUCACAGCUAUAAUCCAAGCUGCUUCUUCACUUUAACUAACAGCUCGAGCCUCCUAUGUCAGCCAGGAUAUACCUCAAUUAUUUAUUACAGGAGAAAAUAGAGAAACUGCAAGAGGACUUAGUUCAUUUCAUCCUGGCAUUUUUUUUAUCCUUCAGUGAAACCUUUUUUCUGCUUCUUUCUGCCCAUGCUAUCUCCCCAUAUACAUUCUCAUUUUGUCUUUAUUCACCUUUCUCUUCUUCAAAACACAAGUCACCCAUCUUAAAAGGAGCCAAGUUUAACCCAAUUUGCAUCUCUGAUUGUCCCUUCUUCCUUUCUUCUCUAAGCUUCUUGAACACAAUAAGCAAUCUUUCUUCAGGCUCCCCUUUUCCCUUCAAACUUUGAACUAUAAAAACCUUUCUUCUGCUGUCCAGAUGAAAAAGUUGACUAGCCUCGCUGGCAUCUCUUUAUGAGCUGGAGCCUCAGGUUCAUGUGAUCGUCCUCCAGCUCUCCUUACCACCUUUUUUCCUGAAUGCUGUAAGAUCAGCAAUUAAUGCAUUCGGUUCUUUGGUUCUCUUUGCCUCUCCGAGUAUACAUACCUGUUGCAGAUUUUGUUUGUGAAACACCCCUAAAGACACAUUUUUUUUGUAAUAACAUCCACAGAACUAAGACUAACCAUGGCUAUAAUCAUAUCACAUUUUUAUUACUGUAAGAGCCUUGUUUCUAAUUGACAAACGGAAACAGUGUCUGUCCAGGAGCAAAAACACUACCCUACUCCGUCACUUUACACUGGCAUCUUUCCACUGGCAUGUCUGUAUUGAGCAAGACCUGUUUUUACCCCCCUUUCAGAUCUGUUCUGUUUUUCAUCCAUGAAAUGUCGUGCUGAGAAUUUAACUUCUUCUGACUGCCUUCUGGUGUUUUUUGCCAUCUUCCACCUCCAACUUUCAGGUUUCUAAGUGAGUAUGUUUCUCCCUGCUCCUCACAUUAAAAGGAAGCUCUUCAGUCAGAGCUACUUGUCAAAGCUUCACUGGUCUUCUUCUUAAGGUCCCUGCUUACGGUUGGCUUUGCUGUAUUGUCCACAUCAGAAAUUAGGCACGUACUGAGCGCCACAGCUCUCUGUUGUACUCUCACCUGAGCUCACUGAGCAACCCUACAUGGCUGUAACUCUGCCACCUUUGACUGUAAGCUUUUCCUGAGGCAAGUGCAAGGGACAUUUCUUUUGUUUUUUCUUCAGUUCAGCAAGAUGCAGUUCAAGUGAGAUAUAUAUAUAUAUAUUCAACCCUGAAUAUAGCAGAUCUUUUCCCAACACCUCAUCCUGGAAUGCCUACUGAAAAACAGUCUAAAAACCUCCGCUGAAUUACAGAGUAAGAGAUUGUAUGCUCUGCCACCUCCUCAGUUGCCUUUUUGCUCAACAGCUGGACCAGGGGAGUUAUAAUACUACUUUCACGCUCCCCUUUCUUGAACUUGAGAGAGAAAGCACAGCUACCUGUGAUGCAGGACAGGACAAAGAUUUGACUGUCCUAGAGAUCAUCAGUAUUUCCACAUAAACGCUCUCCUAGCAUUAGCUCACUUGCAAAAACUUGACCGAGAGAUUUAAUAGGUUGCAUGGAGAUGUGCUGAUGAGUGCUUUGGGUACUCUGAAGAACACUUGUAAUCAAGACACUAAAUGUCCACAUCUACUGAGCAUCCUCAGAAGCUAAAAUUUUAGCAGAAAAUUAUACGAAGAAAACAUUCAAAGAAAAAUAAAGUUCUAUCAAAAGCAGAUAUAUGCUCCAUUUAGUAUGCAAUCAUUAGCCCCGUGUUAGCAGCAGACAAAAUACCUU